UCUGGAGCCCAGGAAAACGAAAC
Molecule: non-coding RNA, 23 nt
Filed under: Cricetulus griseus (Chinese hamster)
Lineage: Eukaryota; Metazoa; Chordata; Mammalia; Rodentia; Cricetidae
Source: RNAcentral